Molecule: ribosomal RNA, 463 nt
Filed under: uncultured Bacteroidales bacterium
Lineage: Bacteria; Pseudomonadati; Bacteroidota; Bacteroidia; Bacteroidales
Description: bacterial SSU rRNA
Rfam family: Bacterial small subunit ribosomal RNA
Source: RNAcentral
GCCUACGGGAGGCAGCAGUAAGGAAUAUUGGGCAAUGGUCGGAAGACUGACCCAGCCAUGCCGCGUGCAGGAAGACGGCCCUAUGGGUUGUAAACUGCUUUUGUCGGGGAAUAAACCUGCCCACGUGUGGGCAGCUGAAGGUACCCGGCGAAUAAGCAUCGGCUAACUCCGUGCCAGCAGCCGCGGUAAUACGGAGGAUGCAAGCGUUAUCCGGAUUCACUGGGUUUAAAGGGUGCGCAGGCGGGAUGAUAAGUCAGAGGUGAAAUCCUACGGCUCAACUGUAGAACUGCCUUUGAUACUGUCGUUCUUGAGUAAAGUUGGAGUGGGCGGAAUGUGUUGUGUAGCGGUGAAAUGCUUAGAUAUAACACAGAACACCGAUCGCGAAGGCAGCUCACUAAGUUUUAACUGACGCUCAUGCACGAAAGCGUGGGGAUCAAACAGGAUUAGAUACCCUGGUAGUCAG